Molecule: ribosomal RNA, 324 nt
Filed under: uncultured eukaryote
Lineage: Eukaryota
Description: partial 18S ribosomal RNA
Rfam family: Eukaryotic small subunit ribosomal RNA
Source: RNAcentral
CCCUUAGAUGCUCUGGGCCGCACGCGCGCUACACUGGUCGAUGCAACGAGUUUCUUUCCUUGGCCGACAGGCCUGGGCAAUCUUUGAACAUCGAUCGUGAUCGGGAUAGAUUCUUGUAAUUUUUGAUCUUAAACGAGGAAUUCCUAGUAAACGCAAGUCAUCAGCUUGCAUUGAUUACGUCCCUGCCCUUUGUACACACCGCCCGUCGCACCUACCGAUUGAAUGGUCUGGUGAAAUCUCCGGACUGGCGUGAGUCGGAGCAAUCUGACAAACGCCGGAAAGUUGAUUAAACCUUACCAUUUAGAGGAAGGUGAAGUCGUAACA